Molecule: ribosomal RNA, 383 nt
Filed under: uncultured bacterium
Lineage: Bacteria
Description: bacterial SSU rRNA
Rfam family: Bacterial small subunit ribosomal RNA
Source: RNAcentral
AUUGAACGCUGGCGGCAUGCUUUACACAUGCAAGCCGAACGGCAGCGCGGGGCAACCCUGGCGGCGAGUGGCGAACGGGUGAGUAAUGCAUCGGAACGUAUCCUGUAAUGGGGGAUAACGUAGCGAAAGUUACGCUAAUACCGCAUACGCUCGAGAGAGGAAAGUGGGGAUCGCAAGACCUCACGUUAUAGGAGCGGCCGAUGUCCGAUUAGCUAGUUGGUGGGUAAAGGCCUACCAAGGUGACGAUCGGUAGCUGGUCUGAGAGGAUGAUCAGCCACACUGGGACUGAGACACGGCCCAGACUCCUACGGGAGGCAGCAGUGGGGAAUUUUGGACAAUGGGCGAAAGCCUGAUCCAGCCAUGCCGCGUGCGGGAAGAAGGCC